UUGUUUUUGUUCUGAUCAUUCAGAAUGUUGUAUCUUCCAAGAGGAUGUAGAAUGAUAUAUCUAAUGGAAGACCAUAUGUAGAAAAGAAACAUCAUAAUCUUUAACCAUGGACAACAACAACUUCAAACACAAAACCAAGGACUAUAAUAGCUAAACUCUCACAGAAAUCUCUCUCUAGCAUUCUAGUUGAACUUCAACACCAACAUUAGCUAGAGAGCGAGGCAGGCCACACCAACAGAAGCUGGCAGCGACCAGCAAAUGGAGGCUGGGUCGUGACGGCGGCACCGAGAUGGAGGAGGUGCCAGGGCAUGUCAGGCAAAAAUAACUAGGAUUGAAUAGUCUCAAUCAGGUAGGUCGGCGUUAGAAGAAAAGAAAUAGCAAGUACAUCAAGUUUCAGUGCCUCUUUCACACACAGAUGUACAACAAAAUUGGCAUACCUUCUUAUAUAGAUGAACUUGAACCCGUAAAAACUUGUGAGAUAUGAACAUCUUUCGAAAGACAUCGACCGCCUCAGAAAAAUCCCUGGAAUCCUCUGACAUCGUGCAUCAAACUUGGCCUUCAGUCCCAAUAAUAUUAUUUCAGAAUCCUUUAUUCAAUUGCCAUCAACCUGGUUAUCCCCACCUAUCAACUUUACUAUUCUAAAAGUACUAGCUUUUGGCAAAAUGUGUACAAGAUACUCAAGAAAUUGAAGGUGGUUGCAAACAACAUACGAGCUACAGCCUAGCGAUUUUUGCAAGUACGUGAGUGAAGACUUGUGAUUGUUCUGAUUCUGAACUUCCCAUUUUUUGAUUUUGACUUUUGAUUGUUCUUUUUUCGCAGGUGCAGUGCAACUGCCGGUGUUAGGAGGUUGGCUUCGCGACAUCUGGUAGCCUCGUCCACCGCCGCACAGGACGGCAAGGAGGGAAUGAAGGAAAGACAGACCUGGCAGCAAGCGGGGGAGGAGCCGGAGCAGCGCCAUGUCGGGGAUGCAUGGUGUCAGCAGCUAUGUUUUUUAUAAAACCUAAAUUACUUCAUAGAACAUAGUUAAAUAUUUUAACAUCACAAAAAGCUAUGUUUUUUAUACAAAAAGUUGUUCUUCUAGGUAGUAGAACUUGCUUGCGUUGCACACGUUCCUCAACCACACACAUAUUUAUCCUGUCACGUGCUUCCAUUCUCCCCCUAUUUAAGUCUGAACUCGUGUUGCACUACCAAAAGCUAACAUCAAAUGCAAUCCUGAUUAACAUACGAUGCGGAGCAUCAUCUCUGGUCAAAGCGAGGAAGCAUUAAUUAACAAAAUUACACAUUUUUUGUACUCUCCGGCCUUGGGUGUGCUGAGCAAGCUGGGCAGCGACGGCGCUCUUUUCUUGUUGUUGAAACCACGAGUGAUCCAACUAACACAAAGUCAAGUUGAACUUCAUGCUUUUUUAGAGGCAAACCUUGUGUUCAGAAGCCAUGCCCUUGUCAUUUCAGUCGUAUGAACUUCAUAGGAAUUGUAAAUGGAACUCGUGGUUGGUGUUACCUUCUCUUUGCUAGCCAUCUGGUUGAGGAAAGAGAGCACCCGCUGGUUGCCGAGAGAGCCC
This 1559-nucleotide long non-coding RNA is filed under the name Triticum aestivum (bread wheat). Its description in RNAcentral is "long non-coding RNA (TAES_LNC015563)". Lineage: Eukaryota; Viridiplantae; Streptophyta; Magnoliopsida; Poales; Poaceae. The record is from RNAcentral.